Molecule: non-coding RNA, 105 nt
Organism: Marasmius oreades (fairy-ring Marasmius)
Lineage: Eukaryota; Fungi; Basidiomycota; Agaricomycetes; Agaricales; Marasmiaceae
Source: the annotation of a RefSeq genome assembly
GGCCUAAUGGUCUAGUAGUAUGAUUCUCGCUUUGGGUGAGGAAAGUUUAUAAGUGUCAAAUCUUAACCUUGCGAGAGGUCCUGGGUUCAAUUCCCAGUUAGGCCC